CCUAAAAUCCAAUAGAAUUUGAGACUACUAGUCUGCAACAACUAUUCAUAGGAUUUUUUUAUUAGUUAAUUUGAAUUAGUCGAUGAAUAACCAUCUGUUUUGGCUAUCUUAACGAACUUAAUCUAAUCUGAUGCUGAUUUUUUUACCGUUGCCCCUUCUCAAGCAAUAGACCAGUACCCUGCAAAUAAGUAGCCACAGGAGAGAGAGCGAGAGAGAGAGAGAGAGAGAGUUGGUUCUUUGAUAGAGAAAGAUACCCAAAUGGGCAUUCCUCUCCAUCAUUCCUCUGCUCCUAACACCAUCGACACUAGCUCUGAUAGCUACACAAGCACGACCAACACUGAUAGUUUCAAUGCUUGUAACAAUGGCAGCCAUUUGAGCUUACCCAACAAUUACAAUCCCAGUUACCUCUUCGUCUAUGGCUCCUCAAGACCUGACGCACCAGGGAGCUCCCUACCACUCUCUGGUUAUUCGAGCAGACGAGCAUGGCUUCUCGGUAGCCGACUCUACUCUUUCGUAAUAUUGGCUUUCAACUAAACAGAAAUCAUACUUCCGUGACCAAAGGAUUUGCUUAAAGCCUCAGUUGGUUAUCACUGCAGCAACAAAGUAUUCUUAAGGCAGGAGGCAUCUACCGAGCAGCUGUUAAACUCGAUGAAUCCGGUAAUGCCGUGACUGGAUAUGCAGUUUCUGCUGAUAAUUCUUUGGGCAUUGCGAUGCUGUUGGAUGAAUAUGAGAGAAGAGAAUUCUCUCCAGAGUUUUAUCAGAAGAAUAUAGUGCAGGUUAUUACGGAUAGAGGAGAGCGGCUUUCAUCAUAUAUAUAUCAUAGAACAGAUUUGAACCCAAAUAACAUUAUCUCAUCUGGUGAUUGGUUCCUUCAGUAAUGACAAGAAAUGGUGGCACAUGAUGGUUCUUUGGAAAUUGUUGCAUGUACAUAUAGGUAUUUCUUUUUGUUCUUCUCAUGGUCAUUUAUGUAUAGAAGGGCUGAUUGGGGUGAAUAUUCUCGAUCGUGUAUAAUAUGGGCAGGCCUGGAUGAAGCGAACUCCUUCCAUAUGUUUGGCAGCAGCUCACUUAACUUUAUUUUACAUUAUUUGUUGUCCAUGGAAGAUGAAAAUAAAGAGAAGUGGUUUGUGUGCUUAUUUGUAAAAACCUAGCAUAAGUUCAGAAACAAAUUUGUAUGUUGGUUGAAGGCUGAGUGGUAAGUAAUGAAUGUGGGUGAUUGUGAUCGAGUAUGUAAGUUAUGAUCUCCAGCCUCAUUCCUAUAAUUCUGAAAUAUGUUGCUAUAAAAGUA
Molecule: non-coding RNA, 1285 nt
Organism: Amborella trichopoda
Lineage: Eukaryota; Viridiplantae; Streptophyta; Magnoliopsida; Amborellales; Amborellaceae
Source: RefSeq, a predicted model, not a curated record